Gadus morhua (Atlantic cod) is the source of this 887-nucleotide long non-coding RNA. RefSeq lists it as uncharacterized. The record is from RefSeq and is a predicted model, not a curated record. The transcript has 4 exons. Lineage: Eukaryota; Metazoa; Chordata; Actinopteri; Gadiformes; Gadidae.
AGGAGAUGGAUUUUUGAGAAGUUAUUGAUCCAUGCUGUUAUCGGCCGUGUCACAAGACAAAUAAAACAGCUCAGGCGAGGUCUCAAAGAAACCCCAAUGUGGACAGUACUGACCCAACGACCUGACACAGUGGACAGGCUUCUCCCAAAAGAGGGAUCUGGGAAUAUAAACCCUGAGGUACUUCUUCAGCGAAUCACUUGGCCCCGUGAGGACGACGAAGACGCAGAUUAUUCAGUCGCCACGAUAUGCUGCAUUACAGGCUAUCUUCGACAGUUCAUUGCUCAUGCUACACCAACCGAAUUGACUGAUCUGGUCAAAUUUUGGACUGGAUGGGAGAUCCUUCCAAGGAGCCUCUCAGUCGAAGUAGUCACUGGCAGAUACCCCACAGCGUCCACCUGCUUUGAGGCCUUGCGGGUCCCAGGGCAUUACAAAGAUUAUACAUCUUUCAGAACUGAUGUUCUCGCCAGCAUUUCAUCGUGCCAAACAGGAUUUGGUCUGGUGUGACCAAAGACUUUCACAGAUUCUUGGGACGAACAGAGAAACUAGCUGCUGUUUCAUUUGGGUUGGAGCCAACACACAUCUAAUCAGGCUGAAGGAAUAUUGCAUUCUGACAAAAGAACACACACUCUUAAACACACACACACGGCACUCACAAACAAACACACACACACACACACAUACACACACAAAAACAAACACGUACACACAAACUCAUGCAAACACACAAACACACACACACACACACACACACUCUAGAUUUCUAGAUAUUAUUCGAUUUUGGAUGUUACAUUAUCCACCAGUUAUGCUUUUUUGAGUUUUGUUUUAACAUUUCAGAUAGUUACGUUUCACUGAGUGUUGAGCCCUAUGUUACUGUCAAACGGAUCAGU